GACGAACGCUGGCGGCGUGCUUAACACAUGCAAGUCGAACGGAAAGGCCCUUCUUUUGUGGGGUGCUCGAGUGUCGAACGGGUGAGUAACACGUGAGUAACCUGCCCUUGACUUUGGGAUAACUUCAGGAAACUGGGGCUCAUACCGGAUAGGAGCUCCUGCUGCAUGGUGGGGGUUGGAAAGUUUCGGCGGUUGGGGAUGGACUCGCGGCUUAUCAGCUUGUUGGUGGGGUAGUGGCUUACCAAGGCUUUGACGGGUAGCCGGCCUGAGAGGGUGACCGGCCACAUGGGGACUGAGAUACGGCCCAGACUCAUACGGGAGGCAGCAGUGGGGAAUAGUGAACAAUGGGCGGAAGCCUGAUGCAGCAACGCCGAGUGCGGGAUGACGGCCUUCGGGUUGUAAACCGCUUUCGCCUGUGACGAAGCGUGAGUGACGGUAAUGGGUAAAGAAGCACCGGCUAACUACGUG
Molecule: ribosomal RNA, 468 nt
Filed under: uncultured bacterium
Lineage: Bacteria
Description: partial 16S ribosomal RNA
Rfam family: Bacterial small subunit ribosomal RNA
Source: RNAcentral